CUCAAUAGCAUGUUCUGCGCCUCCGCAGACUUGAAAGAGAAAAACAAUUGUUGAUUGUUGAAGGAUUGUUGUACCUGCAUGUUAUCUUAAUUUUUAGUGUGCCAAUUUUGGGUAAGACAUUUCUGCCCAAAAAAUAUAUUCUUGAGUAUAUGUUUUGGUUUUCUUUUACCUGAACCUGGCAUACCAACAAUUGAGAUAACAUCUAGGUUUGACCAUCUUUCAUCUUCCUGCGCACUUGGAUUGCCAGUCAGUUCUUACACAAAAGUUAUUGUUGUACGUUGAUGCUAUCUCAGUGUUGGCAUGCAUAAAUUGGGUAAGACAUAUUUGAUGAAAAAGUAUUUUCUAAGAUGAGGUGUUUUAAUUUAUGUGAACAUAUUUAACUGAACACGAAGUUUAAGAAAAAGAGAUAAACUUUUGAACUUGUUAGAUAAAAUGAGUCACAUAUAUCUUAUGUGACUACAAAUUAUUACAUAAGAUUAAAUUGUUUUCAAAUAAGAAAAUAUAUUAUUUUUUUUGUACGGAUUAAAAAUAAAAUAGAUUUACAUAAAUUAAAAUUGACGAAGUAGUUAUUUUAGUGAUACAUUAAUUAGUUGAAGUUAAGAGCACUGUGGCAGCAUCUCUCUUGGAUGUAACAUUGGUAUUUUUGAGUAUAGGGUGGGAUAUCAUUUUCAGAAUCAAGAGUUUUUGUGAGGAGAGGGGUAGGGGUAGGAAUGCUGCAGGUUGAGUUCAUACUGAUGCCUUAUGGUUAGGGGUUUCUACUAAGUUUAAUUUGAGAUAUGAAGGUAAUGCAAAUAUAUUUGCUUGGCUGGGGCUUUUGGUACUCUCUGUAUUUUGGUGGGUUUUUUACUAUGAGGUAUGGUGACUGAAUAAUAGGAUUACGACAGAAAUUCAGGAGGCCAGGUUUGGGUGGUAUAAAUAUAGAGGUGGUGUAAAAAUUUUUGAAUGGGAUUUAAAGUUAAAUUUGCUAACAAGUGACAAUCUAAUUUUUUUUAACAAUUAAUUUGGUAGUAUGUGAAUGUCAGUUAAUUACUUAGAUUAGUCGUACUUGUUCGAUAUGCGGUUAAUAUUAAAAAAUAUAAAUUAAAUUAAAUUGUGAUCCGGCUUGUUUGAACAAAUUAGAGGAAAAAAUUUACACCAAAUCUAGUUAAAUUAACCAUAGGAAAUAAACACAAUAUCUACUAGAGUUUAUAAAAAAAAUAAGAAAAGGUAAUAAAGAGUGCUAAUAAUUGAUGUUAAACUUUUUAGGGUUGUCGUCCUUAUUUUAUUUCUCGCCGCAAUUUCUUGUUGCAUCUUGCGAGUUUCUUGUUCUUUUAUUUCUAACAUAAUUGCUAAAUGUUGAGUGUUUCAGAGCCUUUAGCAUGUGACAGAGAUGAAAGAUGUAUUAUGCUUGCCAAACCAUAAGUAUGAUCUAACUUCCAAGAAGCGGAAUUAUGCUUUUGGGUAAAACACUAGUCUAGUCGAGGUAAAUGUUGCAGAAGCAUUGUACUUCAACUUGGUUGUGAUCAACAUACUCUAGACGAGGUGUUAUAUGAUGAAACCUUUCUUCUUAGUUGUAUAUAAGACUUUGCAUUACUCUCAGCUGGAGAAAUUGGCAUGGCGAGACAAGAAGCAGUGAAAGAAAGUACCUCGGUGCUUUGUAGAAAAAUGCAACAAAUUAUUUAAUAUACUUACAAAUGCAUAACAUCCUUGGUUGGUUAGUUCCUUUUAAUGCUGUUAUUGGCCAAGAUGUGUAUGCUCAAAUUUUUUUGUUGUUCGGUUUCUUUGAAAAUAUUUAAGAUUAAUUAUUAUAUUCUUAUUAUUAUUUAAGAUUAUAUAAAAAUUAGAUAGAGUUACUUUGGUUAAAUACUUACAACUAGUUUAUAAUUAAAUAAGGUGAUAAGUGUCAUUUAACUAUUGGCUUGGUAUAUACAUCGG
Molecule: long non-coding RNA, 1914 nt
Filed under: Nicotiana tabacum (common tobacco)
Lineage: Eukaryota; Viridiplantae; Streptophyta; Magnoliopsida; Solanales; Solanaceae
Description: long non-coding RNA (NTAB_LNC007887)
Source: RNAcentral